This 615-nucleotide ribosomal RNA is filed under the name uncultured bacterium. Its description in RNAcentral is "bacterial SSU rRNA". It matches the Rfam family "Bacterial small subunit ribosomal RNA", at positions 338 to 948 of the family's 1533-position model. The record is from RNAcentral.
CCUACGGGAGGCAGCAGUGGGGAAUUUUGGACAAUGGGCGCAAGCCUGAUCCAGCAAUGCCGCGUGAGUGAAGAAGGCCUUCGGGUGUAAAGCUCUUUUGUCAGGGAAGAAACGGCUCCAGCUAAUAUCUGGGGCUAAUGACGGUACCUGAAGAAUAAGCACCGGCUAACUACGUGCCAGCAGCCGCGGUAAUACGUAGGGUGCAAGCGUUAAUCGGAAUUACUGGGCGUAAAGCGUGCGCAGGCGGUUUUGUAAGUCUGUCGUGAAAGCCCCGGGCUCAACCUGGGAAUUGCGAUGGAGACUGCAAGGCUUGAAUCUGGCAGAGGGGGGUAGAAUUCCACGUGUAGCAGUGAAAUGCGUAGAGAUGUGGAGGAACACCGAUGGCGAAGGCAGCCCCCUGGGUCAAGAUUGACGCUCAUGCACGAAAGCGUGGGGAGCAAACAGGAUUAGAUACCCUGGUAGUCCACGCCCUAAACGAUGUCUACUAGUUGUCGGGUUUUAAUUAACUUGGUAACGCAGCUAACGCGUGAAGUAGACCGCCUGGGGAGUACGGUCGCAAGNUUAAAACUCAAAGGAUUGACGGCUGAGAGNGCGAGACGACGACGAGGGAGGAGG